RNAcentral lists this ribosomal RNA (216 nucleotides) under Glomeromycotina sp. RNAcentral's name for it is "partial small subunit ribosomal RNA". The stretch from base 87 to 216 matches the Rfam family "Eukaryotic small subunit ribosomal RNA", at positions 733 to 864 of the family's 1831-position model. Lineage: Eukaryota; Fungi; Glomeromycota. The record is from RNAcentral.
GGGUCAUUAGGUUGGUCGUGCCACCGGUACGUACUGGUCUCACUGAUUCCUCCUUCCUGAAGAACCGUAAUGCCAUUAAUUCGGUGUUGCGGGGAAACAGGACUGUUACUUUGAAAAAAUUAGAGUGUUUAAAGCAAGCUAACGCUUGAAUACAUUAGCAUGGAAUAAUGAAAUAGGACGAUCGAUCCUAUUUUGUUGGUUUCUAGGAUUGACGUA